CCUACGGGAGGCUGCAGUCGAGAAUCAUGCACAAUGGGGGAAACCCUGAUGGGGCGACGCCGCGUGGGGGAAUGAAGGUCUUCGGAUUGUAAACCCCUGUCAUGUGGGAGCAAAUUAAAAAGAUAGUACCACAAGAGGAAGAGACGGCUAACUCUGUGCCAGCAGCCGCGGUAAUACAGAGGUCUCAAGCGUUGUUCGGAAUCACGGGGCGUAAAGCGUGCGUAGGCGGUUUCGUAAGUCGUGUGUGAAAGGCGCGGGCUCAACCCGCGGACGGCACAUGAUACUGCGAGACUGGAGUAAUGGAGGGGGAACCGGAAUGCUCGGUGUAGCAGUGAAAUGCGUAGAUAUCGAGAGGAACACUCGUGGCGAAGGCGGGUUCCUGGACAUUAACUGACGCUGAGGCACGAAGGCCAGGGGAGCGAAAAGGAUUAGAUACCCUAGUAGUC
This 446-nucleotide ribosomal RNA is filed under the name uncultured bacterium. RNAcentral's name for it is "partial 16S ribosomal RNA". It matches the Rfam family "Bacterial small subunit ribosomal RNA", at positions 338 to 795 of the family's 1533-position model. The record is from RNAcentral.